Molecule: ribosomal RNA, 1412 nt
Filed under: Lactiplantibacillus plantarum
Lineage: Bacteria; Bacillati; Bacillota; Bacilli; Lactobacillales; Lactobacillaceae
Description: bacterial SSU rRNA
Rfam family: Bacterial small subunit ribosomal RNA
Source: RNAcentral
AACUCUGGUAUUGAUUGGUGCUUGCAUCAUGAUUUACAUUUGAGUGAGUGGCGAACUGGUGAGUAACACGUGGGAAACCUGCCCAGAAGCGGGGGAUAACACCUGGAAACAGAUGCUAAUACCGCAUAACAACUUGGACCGCAUGGUCCGAGCUUGAAAGAUGGCUUCGGCUAUCACUUUUGGAUGGUCCCGCGGCGUAUUAGCUAGAUGGUGGGGUAACGGCUCACCAUGGCAAUGAUACGUAGCCGACCUGAGAGGGUAAUCGGCCACAUUGGGACUGAGACACGGCCCAAACUCCUACGGGAGGCAGCAGUAGGGAAUCUUCCACAAUGGACGAAAGUCUGAUGGAGCAACGCCGCGUGAGUGAAGAAGGGUUUCGGCUCGUAAAACUCUGUUGUUAAAGAAGAACAUAUCUGAGAGUAACUGUUCAGGUAUUGACGGUAUUUAACCAGAAAGCCACGGCUAACUACGUGCCAGCAGCCGCGGUAAUACGUAGGUGGCAAGCGUUGUCCGGAUUUAUUGGGCGUAAAGCGAGCGCAGGCGGUUUUUUAAGUCUGAUGUGAAAGCCUUCGGCUCAACCGAAGAAGUGCAUCGGAAACUGGGAAACUUGAGUGCAGAAGAGGACAGUGGAACUCCAUGUGUAGCGGUGAAAUGCGUAGAUAUAUGGAAGAACACCAGUGGCGAAGGCGGCUGUCUGGUCUGUAACUGACGCUGAGGCUCGAAAGUAUGGGUAGCAAACAGGAUUAGAUACCCUGGUAGUCCAUACCGUAAACGAUGAAUGCUAAGUGUUGGAGGGUUUCCGCCCUUCAGUGCUGCAGCUAACGCAUUAAGCAUUCCGCCUGGGGAGUACGGCCGCAAGGCUGAAACUCAAAGGAAUUGACGGGGGCCCGCACAAGCGGUGGAGCAUGUGGUUUAAUUCGAAGCUACGCGAAGAACCUUACCAGGUCUUGACAUACUAUGCAAAUCUAAGAGAUUAGACGUUCCCUUCGGGGACAUGGAUACAGGUGGUGCAUGGUUGUCGUCAGCUCGUGUCGUGAGAUGUUGGGUUAAGUCCCGCAACGAGCGCAACCCUUAUUAUCAGUUGCCAGCAUUAAGUUGGGCACUCUGGUGAGACUGCCGGUGACAAACCGGAGGAAGGUGGGGAUGACGUCAAAUCAUCAUGCCCCUUAUGACCUGGGCUACACACGUGCUACAAUGGAUGGUACAACGAGUUGCGAACUCGCGAGAGUAAGCUAAUCUCUUAAAGCCAUUCUCAGUUCGGAUUGUAGGCUGCAACUCGCCUACAUGAAGUCGGAAUCGCUAGUAAUCGCGGAUCAGCAUGCCGCGGUGAAUACGUUCCCGGGCCUUGUACACACCGCCCGUCACACCAUGAGAGUUGUAACACCCAAAGUCGGUGGGUAACCUUUAGAACC